GUAGGUGGCAAGCGUUGUCCGGAAUUAUUGGGCGUAAAGCGCGCGCAGGCGGUUCUUUAAGUCUGAUGUGAAAGCCCACGGGCUCAACCGUGAAGGGUCAUUGGAAACUGGAGAACUUGAGUACAGAAGAGGAAAGCGGAAUUCCACGUGUAGCGGUGAAAUGCGUAGAGAUGUGGAGGAACACCAGUGGCGAAGGCGGCUUUCUGGUCUGUAACUGACGCGGAGGCGCGAAAGCGUGGGGAGCAAACAGGAUUAGAUACCCUGGUAGUCCACGCCGUAAACGAUGAGUGCUAAGUGUUAGGGGGUUUCCGCCCCUUAGUGCUGCAGCUAACGCAUUAAGCACUCCGCCUGGGGAGUACGGCCGCAAAGGCUG
RNAcentral lists this ribosomal RNA (373 nucleotides) under uncultured organism. RNAcentral's name for it is "partial 16S ribosomal RNA". It matches the Rfam family "Bacterial small subunit ribosomal RNA", at positions 527 to 896 of the family's 1533-position model. The record is from RNAcentral.